RNAcentral lists this ribosomal RNA (254 nucleotides) under uncultured bacterium. RNAcentral's name for it is "partial 16S ribosomal RNA". It matches the Rfam family "Bacterial small subunit ribosomal RNA", at positions 524 to 776 of the family's 1533-position model. The record is from RNAcentral.
UACGUAGGCAGCGAGCGUUGUUCGGAGUUACUGGGCGUAAAGGGUGUGUAGGCGGUCGUUUAAGUUUGGUGUGAAAUCUCCCGGCUCAACCGGGAGGGUGCGCCGAAUACUGAAUGACUUGGAGUGCGGGAGAGGUGAGUGGAAUUCCUGGUGUAGCGGUGAAAUGCGCAGAUAUCAGGAAGAACACCCGUGGCGAAGGCGGUUCUCUGGGACGGUACUGACGCUGAGACGCGAAAGCGUGGGGAGCGAACAGG